GCGAACGGGUGAGUAACGCGUAGGUAACCUGCCUUGUAGCGGGGGAUAACUAUUGGAAACGAUAGCUAAUACCGCAUAACAAUGGAUGACACAUGUCAUUUAUUUGAAAGGGGCAAUUGCUCCACUACAAGAUGGACCUGCGUUGUAUUAGCUAGUAGGUGAGGUAAUGGCUCACCUAGGCGACGAUACAUAGCCGACCUGAGAGGGUGAUCGGCCACACUGGGACUGAGACACGGCCCAGACUCCUACGGGAGGCAGCAGUAGGGAAUCUUCCGCAAUGGGCGAAAGCCUGACGGAGCAAGACCGCGUGGGGGAAGAAGGCUCUUGGGUUGUAAACUUCUGUCGUAAGGGACGAUAAUGA
Molecule: ribosomal RNA, 361 nt
Filed under: uncultured bacterium
Lineage: Bacteria
Description: bacterial SSU rRNA
Rfam family: Bacterial small subunit ribosomal RNA
Source: RNAcentral